This 512-nucleotide ribosomal RNA is filed under the name uncultured bacterium. RNAcentral describes it as "bacterial SSU rRNA". It matches the Rfam family "Bacterial small subunit ribosomal RNA", at positions 15 to 518 of the family's 1533-position model. The record is from RNAcentral.
GAUCAUGGCUCAGGAUGAACGCUAGCUACAGGCUUAACACAUGCAAGUCGAGGGGCAGCAUUGGAGUAGCAAUACUCAGAUGGCGACCGGCGCACGGGUGAGUAACACGUAUCCAACCUGCCGCUUACUCGGGGAUAGCCAUUCGAAAGAAAGAUUAAUACCCGAUGGUAUAAAGAGUUCGCAUGUUCUCUUUAUUAAAGAAUUUCGGUAAGCGAUGGGGAUGCGUUCCAUUAGAUAGUUGGCGGGGUAACGGCCCACCAAGUCUACGAUGGAUAGGGGUUCUGAGAGGAAGGUCCCCCACAUUGGAACUGAGACACGGUCCAAACUCCUACGGGAGGCAGCAGUGAGGAAUAUUGGUCAAUGGACGAGAGUCUGAACCAGCCAAAAGUAGCGUGAAGGAUGACUGCCCUAUGGGUUGUAAACUUCUUUUAUAAGGGAAUAAAGUGAGGGACGUGUCCCUUUUUGUAUGUACCUUAUGAAUAAGGAUCGGCUAACUCCGUGCCAGCCGCCGC